Molecule: long non-coding RNA, 931 nt
Organism: Scatophagus argus
Lineage: Eukaryota; Metazoa; Chordata; Actinopteri; Scatophagidae
Exons: 3
Source: RefSeq, a predicted model, not a curated record
UUUAUUCACUUUUUGGAUUUCUUGUUGUGUGAGGCACGUCAAUGGAAAUAACCUCAUUAAUUACUGAAUAACAAAAAAAGGAAAAUCAAAUAAUCAGGAUCAAGGAUAUGAAAAUGUUCCGUUUUUAAAGUUUAACUCAUAUGUGCUGCACAUUUGAAACAGGUUCUGUGCGGCAAAAAAAUAGCCUAACAUCGACUAAAUUUGGUUUAUCUAAUUACAUACUUUGAUUUCAUUGUAAUAGCUAGUAAUUCAACCACGCCUAACUGCACUUUGUUUGUGUCUGUUCGCUGUGAAUUAAAUGCGUCAUCUGUAUCACAUUUGGAGGCUCAGGUGUUGAGAAAGUUGCACGUAAUUUCUGUCAGAUCAUGUCAACACAAGCGGGAUGCUGUAGGUGCAGACUUGGUGAAAAUGGCGUCCGGUAUUGAAUGGCUUCUUCAUAUUGCCAGGAGCUGUGCUAUCAGUGACCACAUCAACACCAGAGCAUUAUAAUUCAUCCCCAGAGAAUGAAGUCAGCCGCCGCAUCAGGACUUGCGUCGGUCAAGAAAGCACAAACAAGCCGCCCUCAUCAUGGGAAAGUACGGCCGCUGCGCUGCAGAUGUUUCUAACGAGCAGGGCGACGAUGAGCGUUUUCACGGACUCCAGGGGACAUGAUCGCCUUUCACUUAUUUAUCGCCCGUUUACUAUCGAAGAAGAAGAGGAAGGAGAAGAAGAAGAAGUGACCUUCUCUGAGGAGGAAGAUGUCAGCUCUGAAAAAGGUGUUACCAUGGCUACUACAGACUCACUGCUGUCUUUUCUUUGAGAAGGACCCAGGUUUGCGUAGUUGGUGUUUGGUACGAGUGUUGAAUGUAAAGGAUGAGCGUUGUGAUAUUCCAGGGUCUUUCUCAUCAUCAACAAAUCCCAAAACUGAGCCCACUAAAUUUUACCUUUGUAG